CAGCCGUAAACGAUGUGCGUUAGGUGUAUCGACGACCACGAGUUGUCGAGGUGCCGAAGGGAAACCGUGAAACGUACCGCCUGGGAAGUACGGUCGCAAGGCUGAAACUUAAAGGAAUUGGCGGGGGAGCACCACAACAGGUGGAGCCUGCGGUUUAAUUGGACUCAACGCCGGGAAUCUCACCGGAUAGGACAGCGGAAUGAUUGCCGGGCUGAAGACUCUGCAUGACUAGCUGAGAGGUGGUGCAUGGCCGUCAGUGACU
RNAcentral lists this ribosomal RNA (262 nucleotides) under uncultured archaeon. Its description in RNAcentral is "partial 16S ribosomal RNA". It matches the Rfam family "Archaeal small subunit ribosomal RNA", at positions 748 to 1009 of the family's 1478-position model. The record is from RNAcentral.